AGGAUUAGAUACCCUAGUAUAUUAACAAAUUUAAGAUUAGUAUAUCAUUGAAAUUUAAUAAUUUUGGUGGUUAAAUUAUUUGAUUAGAGAGGCUUGUUCAUUUAUAGAAUUAACUCUUUAUAUUUUAUUAAUAAAUAUUUUUAUUCAUCUCCGUUAUAAAUAAAAGGUUUAAAAUUAAACUGGAAGAGUAGAAUUUCAGGUCAAGAUGUAGUUUUUAUUAGAAGGGAUUAGCUGAAAUUAUGGAAUAAAUGGAGAUGUCAAAAGGAAGAUUAAGUUUAAUUUAAUUUAAUUGUAAUAUGAAUUAGAAAAUUUAUAUGAAAUUUAUGUGAUUAAUAUACAUAUUGCCCGUCACUUCUGUGUGGAUUAUAGAAUAAGUCGUAACAAA
RNAcentral lists this ribosomal RNA (385 nucleotides) under Cearinus corniger. RNAcentral describes it as "partial small subunit ribosomal RNA". The record is from RNAcentral. Lineage: Eukaryota; Metazoa; Arthropoda; Arachnida; Opiliones; Gonyleptidae.